Molecule: non-coding RNA, 72 nt
Organism: Thaumarchaeota archaeon 13_1_40CM_38_12
Lineage: Archaea; Thermoproteati; Nitrososphaerota
Source: Rfam
GGUGAGGUGGCAGAGUGGUUAUGCGUUCGCCUGCAGAGCGAAUUUAUAGGGGUUCAAAUCCCUUCCUCACCU